RNAcentral lists this ribosomal RNA (394 nucleotides) under uncultured Gammaproteobacteria bacterium. Its description in RNAcentral is "bacterial SSU rRNA". It matches the Rfam family "Bacterial small subunit ribosomal RNA", at positions 370 to 779 of the family's 1533-position model. Lineage: Bacteria; Pseudomonadati; Pseudomonadota; Gammaproteobacteria. The record is from RNAcentral.
AAUGGGCGAAAGCCUGACGGAGCAACGCCGCGUGAGGGAUGAAGGCCUCUGGGCUGUAAACCUCUUUUAUCAAGGAAGAAGAUCUGACGGUACUUGAUGAAUAAGCCACGGCUAAUUCCGUGCCAGCAGCCGCGGUAAUACGGGAGUGGCAAGCGUUAUCCGGAAUUAUUGGGCGUAAAGCGUCCGCAGGCGGCCCUUCAAGUCUGCUAUUAAAAAGUGGAGCUUAACUCCAUCAUGGCAGUGGAAACUGUUGGGCUUGAGUGUGGUAGGGGCAGAGGGAAUUCCCGGUGUAGCGGUGAAAUGCGUAGAUAUCGGGAAGAACACCAGUGGCGAAGGCGCUCUGCUGGGCCAUCACUGACGCUCAUGGACGAAAGCCAGGGGAGCGAAAGGGAUU